GCAGCCGCGGUAAUACGGAGGGUGCAAGCGUUGUCCGGAUUUCUUGGGUUUAAAGGGUGCGUAGGCGGCGCAGCAAGUCAGGGGUGAAAUCCCAGAGCUUAACUCUGGAAUUGCCUUUGAAACUGCUGCGCUGGAGUGUCGGAGGGGAUGGCGGAAUUGCUAAUGUAGAGGUGAAAUUCGUAGAUAUUAGCAGGAACACCGGUGGCGAAGGCGGCCAUCUGGACGACAACUGACGCUGAGGCGCGAAAGCGUGGGGAUCAAACAGG
Molecule: ribosomal RNA, 266 nt
Filed under: uncultured bacterium
Lineage: Bacteria
Description: partial 16S ribosomal RNA
Rfam family: Bacterial small subunit ribosomal RNA
Source: RNAcentral